UUCAAAUUCAGCAAUCAGGAGUCCGCCUGGAGAACAGAGACAUACAAAUUCAAGUUCAGCAAUCAGGAGCCCGCCUGGAUAAUAGAGGAAUGUAUUCAAGUCCAAGUUCAUUCAAGGUCAGCAAUUGGGAGGGAAGGAACAACACUCCAGUUCAUGAUUUAAAGAAACAACAAAAGAAAGUACAAGACAACAAGGCAACAAGAGAGAAUACAAGAUUGUAAGACAACAAGGAAGUGUAAG
This 240-nucleotide long non-coding RNA is filed under the name Nicotiana benthamiana. RNAcentral describes it as "long non-coding RNA (NBEN_LNC039553)". The record is from RNAcentral. Lineage: Eukaryota; Viridiplantae; Streptophyta; Magnoliopsida; Solanales; Solanaceae.